RNAcentral lists this ribosomal RNA (274 nucleotides) under uncultured bacterium. RNAcentral's name for it is "partial 16S ribosomal RNA". It matches the Rfam family "Bacterial small subunit ribosomal RNA", at positions 523 to 796 of the family's 1533-position model. The record is from RNAcentral.
AUACGGAGGGUGCAAGCGUUACUCGGAAUCACUGGGCGUAAAGCGCGCGCAGGCGGCUUGGUAAGUUGGAUGUGAAAGCCUACGGCUCAACCGUAGAACUGCAUCCAAAACUGCCAAGCUAGAGUGUGGGAGAGGAAGAUGGAAUUAGUUGUGUAGGGGUAAAAUCCGUAGAGAUAACUAGGAAUACCAAAAGCGAAGGCAAUCUUCUGGAACACUACUGACGCUGAGGCGCGAAAGCGUGGGGAGCAAACAGGAUUAGAAACCCGAGUAGUCC